ACCUGUCGUACAGGUAUAGCACACUUUAUUCCUGACACUCCUGGACAUGAUAUUCUGUGUCAGUAGCUGUAGUGAUCACACACACUGUCAUUAUGAUACCGAUUAGUGUGUACCAUGUGUUCAUGCUGCUAGGGCGUGUGAACAAUUGUUUGUCUUAUUUUAUUGUUGUGGCUGGUUGUCCUGCUGUGUGGACCAGUGCGUUCCUGCUAAGCAUCUCUUUAUCGUCUGCGUCCUCUGUUCACUGCCAACUUUUCAUAUCUUUAGCUGCAUGUUGUCAGGUGCCUCCAGUUCCUCCACAAUCAGCUCCGUAACGUGACACCGAGGCUGUGGAGGGAACACCAUCUCCUGUAAACUUCCUUCAAGUUGGAAUGACGGUGAAAUUCCAUCACAGGAACCAUUUCGGGAUCUCUGGAGUUUGGGUUAGUUUCCAUCGAAUGAG
This is a long non-coding RNA of Ictalurus punctatus (channel catfish), 439 nucleotides long. The record is from Ensembl. Lineage: Eukaryota; Metazoa; Chordata; Actinopteri; Siluriformes; Ictaluridae.